GGAGGGGUGGCCGAGCGGUCUAAGGCGCACGCCUGGAAAGCGUGUUGGGCGCAAGCCCUCACGGGUUCGAAUCCCGUCCCCUCCGCCA
This 88-nucleotide transfer RNA is filed under the name bacterium. Its description in RNAcentral is "tRNA-Ser". It matches the Rfam family "tRNA". From Rfam's summary of the family: Transfer RNA (tRNA) molecules are approximately 80 nucleotides in length. Their secondary structure includes four short double-helical elements and three loops (D, anti-codon, and T loops). RNAcentral also lists the same sequence under 1 other name. The record is from RNAcentral.